AUUGAUUUGGCGUAAAGAAAUAAGGUUAAACCUUGCUUGUCCAUUCUUACUUCUUUCCACUACUUAUAGGGCUAUUGUUAUGAGCUGCCACUCAAUUAAAAUGGUAAACUCUGUCACUUGCCCAGAGUGUUCAAUUCUUUAGCAAUCGCUUUUGAGGAAUUUAAGCAUUGCUAUUGACUACGCUAGCAAGGUUCAUCAAGUGCUAUUGGCUUUACUUUCAUCCUUAUCCAUAUGGUAUGUCAUAUUGUAUGCCAGCGUCAUCAUUGAUGCAUGAUUGGCUUCUCCCAAUCGAAUUUGGCUUGUUUGAACAAACGUAUAAAAUAAGAAAAUAAAGAUAUACCUACACGUUUCCGAUUAUAAAUGUUUCCUAAUAUGCUUUAUGUGGGUCUAAGUCUAAUUAAAACUAACCACAAAAAUUGACUUGUAUAUAGUAGUUGAUUAUGUUAACACAACACUGUGUUUGUUGGUUCUGUGCUUCCUCUCUUGGAUAAGAAUUGUGAGACACUACACCAUACCAUAAUUUUACCUUGAAUGCACAUAACCAACAAAUACAAUGUUGUGUUAACAUAGCUAUUUACAAAUUCAACCAAAACUCAACUCAUGCCAG
Molecule: long non-coding RNA, 607 nt
Filed under: Glycine max (soybean)
Lineage: Eukaryota; Viridiplantae; Streptophyta; Magnoliopsida; Fabales; Fabaceae
Description: long non-coding RNA (GMAX_LNC000273)
Source: RNAcentral